GUGGCGAACGGGUGAGUAACACGUGAGCAAUCUGCCCCUGACUCUGGGAUAAGCGCUGGAAACGGCGUCUAAUACCGGAUACGAGCUGCGACCGCAUGGUCGGCAGUUGGAAAGAAUUUCGGUCAGGGAUGAGCUCGCGGCCUAUCAGCUUGUUGGUGAGGUAAUGGCUCACCAAGGCGUCGACGGGUAGCCGGCCUGAGAGGGUGACCGGCCACACUGGGACUGAGACACGGCCCAGACUCCUACGGGAGGCAGCAGUGGGGAAUAUUGCACAAUGGGCGCAAGCCUGAUGCAGCAACGCCGCGUGAGGGAUGACGGCCUUCGGGUUGUAAACCUCUUUUAGCAGGGAAGAAGCGAAAGUGACGGUACCUGCAGAAAAAGCGCCGGCUAACUACGUGCCAGCAGCCGCGGUAAUACGUAGGGCGCAAGCGUUAUCCGGAAUUAUUGGGCGUAAAGAGCUCGUAGGCGGUCUGUCGCGUCUGCUGUGAAAACCCGAGGCUCAACCUCGGGCCUGCAGUGGGUACGGGCAGACUAGAGUGCGGUAGGGGAGAUUGGAAUUCCUGGUGUAGCGGUGGAAUGCGCAGAUAUCAGGAGGAACACCGAUGGCGAAGGCAGAUCUCUGGGCCGUAACUGACGCUGAGGAGCGAAAGGGUGGGGAGCAAACAGGCUUAGAUACCCUGGUAGUCCACCCCGUAAACGUUGGGAACUAGUUGUGGGGUCCAUUCCACGGAUUCCGUGACGCAGCUAACGCA
Molecule: ribosomal RNA, 752 nt
Filed under: Microbacterium sp.
Lineage: Bacteria; Bacillati; Actinomycetota; Actinomycetes; Micrococcales; Microbacteriaceae
Description: bacterial SSU rRNA
Rfam family: Bacterial small subunit ribosomal RNA
Source: RNAcentral